This 577-nucleotide small RNA is filed under the name Arabidopsis thaliana (thale cress). Its description in RNAcentral is "ATSL093270". Lineage: Eukaryota; Viridiplantae; Streptophyta; Magnoliopsida; Brassicales; Brassicaceae. The record is from RNAcentral.
AAACAACUAAUUUAUUGACUUAACUAAGCGACCUCUCGACAAACUUGAAAAAAGCUUUUACUAAUAAGAAAAGGAAGAAACUUUUAAAGAAUCAUAUAUAUGAAAGUUGAACAACUCUCUCCAUAUGAGUGACACAUCAUCACACAAGAAAAUGACAUGUGUGAUUCUACAUUAAUUAAAUAAAAAGAUUAAAAACUAUUUGAGGAAAAAUUCUUUUGUUGUAUUAAAUCCACCAUUAAUCUCACUCUUAAAUAAAUAUUCUAACUAUACAAAUAUAAUUACAUAAAAUGAAUAUAACUUUAUUAACUACAUAAUAACAUACACGAAAAUAACAUAAAUUAAUAAUAAAAAUAGUUAAACAUAAUUAUUUUUAAACAAAUUUCAAACAACAACCAACAAAAUGACAAUCACAAUGUGAAUCCAAACUUUAAUCAUGAGCCUAUCACAAUGUUACUGAAGUACAUAAAACAAGGAAAUGAUUAUUUAUAAUCGAGUUAGGCAAAUAUUAAACCACAAAAAUAACAUAGUUACACAGAAUUGUAUUAAAAUAUCAUUAUUGUUGUUAUAUGUAUUCAUA